AUUGAACGCUGGCGGCAGGCCUAACACAUGCAAGUCGAACGGUAACAGGAAGCAGCUUGCUGCUUCGCUGACGAGUGGCGGACGGGUGAGUAAUGUCUGGGAAACCGCCUGAUGGAGGGGGAUAACUACUGGAAACGGUAGCUAAUACCGCAUAACGUCGCAAGACCAAAGAGGGGGACCUUAGGGCCUCUUGCCAUCGGAUGUGCCCAGAUGGGAUUAGCUAGUAGGUGGGGUAACGGCUCACCUAGGCGACGAUCCCUAGCUGGUCUGAGAGGAUGACCAGCCACACUGGAACUGAGACACGGUCCAGACUCCUACGGGAGGCAGCAGUGGGGAAUAUUGCACAAUGGGCGCAAGCCUGAUGCAGCCAUGCCGCGUGUAUGAAGAAGGCCUUCGGGUUGUAAAGUACUUUCAGCGGGGAGGAAGGGAGUAAAGUUAAUACCUUUGCUCAUUGACGUUACCCGCAGAAGAAGCACCGGCUAACUCCGUG
RNAcentral lists this ribosomal RNA (490 nucleotides) under uncultured bacterium. RNAcentral describes it as "partial 16S ribosomal RNA". It matches the Rfam family "Bacterial small subunit ribosomal RNA", at positions 30 to 507 of the family's 1533-position model. The record is from RNAcentral.